RNAcentral lists this ribosomal RNA (191 nucleotides) under uncultured bacterium. Its description in RNAcentral is "partial 16S ribosomal RNA". It matches the Rfam family "Bacterial small subunit ribosomal RNA", at positions 1302 to 1500 of the family's 1533-position model. The record is from RNAcentral.
AGCCUGCAACCCGGCUCCGUGAAGCUGGAUUCGCUAGUAAUCGCGCAUCAGCCAUGGCGCGGUGAAUACGUUCCCGGGCCUUGUACACACCGCCCGUCAAGCCAUGGAAGCCGGGGGCGCUUGAAGUGCGUUGCCGCAAGGCGCGCCCUAGAGCGAAACCGGUGACUGGGGCUAAGUCGUAACAAGGUAAC